RNAcentral lists this ribosomal RNA (492 nucleotides) under uncultured bacterium. RNAcentral describes it as "partial 16S ribosomal RNA". It matches the Rfam family "Bacterial small subunit ribosomal RNA", at positions 29 to 507 of the family's 1533-position model. The record is from RNAcentral.
AGUGAACGCUGGCGGUAGGCCUAACACAUGCAAGUCGAACGGCAGCACAGUAAGAGCUUGCUCUUACGGGUGGCGAGUGGCGGACGGGUGAGGAAUACAUCGGAAUCUACUUUUUCGUGGGGGAUGACGUAGGGAAACUUACGCUAAUACCGCAUACGACCUACGGAUGAAAGCAGGGGAUCUUCGGACCUUGCGCGAUUGAAUGAGCCGAUGUCGGAUUAGCUAGUUGGCGGGGUAAAGGCCCACCAAGGCGGCGAUCCGUAGCUGGUCUGAGAGGAUGAUCAGCCACACUGGAACUGAGACACGGUCCAGACUCCUACGGGAGGCAGCAGUGGGGAAUAUUGGACAAUGGGCGCAAGCCUGAUCCAGCCAUACCGCGUGGGUGAAGAAGGCCUUCGGGUUGUAAAGCCCUUUUGUUGGGAAAGAAAAGCAGCAGGUUAAUACCCCGCUGUUCUGACGGUACCCAAAGAAUAAGCACCGGCUAACUUCGUG